Long non-coding RNA from Nicotiana attenuata, 693 nucleotides. RefSeq lists it as uncharacterized. The transcript is spliced from 4 exons. The record is from RefSeq and is a predicted model, not a curated record. Lineage: Eukaryota; Viridiplantae; Streptophyta; Magnoliopsida; Solanales; Solanaceae.
CCAAAUCCAUUCCCCUCUUUCCAUCGAAACCCUAACUGAGCCCUAAAACUCGCCCAUGGGAAAGUAGAAACGAAAGCAAUUCCCCUCUCCUGAAAUUCUCAUUGUGGGACGCGAACCGAUGAAAUAACAAAUGGAAGCAAACGAUUUGGCUUAAGAAAAAAUCGAUUUGGUGUCUGAGCAUCGCGAAGCGGCCUUGUGUUGUUUCCUCUCCUUUCCUCUCAGAUUCCGGGAUUCUUAAACAUAUAACACCUCCAUUAUCGUGAAACUCAUGAGGAGCUUUAUUAUGGUCAUUAUGAAAGGAAAUUGGCAGAAAGGCAUUUAGCUUUCUGUGAUAGAUUUCUAUAAUGACAUGCUAUUCAAUUUGAUUUUUUCAGAAACUUUCGGUAAAGUAAUUAUGCAUUGUGCUUCCAAACAUUAUCAUGGUGACUCAGGGAUGUUUUCGAGGCUCGGGAUUCUGAGGUCACGACUUGGGCUUUUAUGUAGAGUCUCAAGACUUCAAGGGAAAAUGAUACUAACGAAGGCAGAACUUGAAGACAUCUUAUUUUGCUUUAUUUUGUUUUUGUUUUCAUGUGUAUGUAUAAUUACUACAUGUUAUGAAUUUUAUUAAAAAAUUUCUAUAUUAUGUUGUUUGACAUAUGUCUUUAGUGUUGUCUCUUCUAAUGUUUAAUGAGUUUCCCUAUUACCUUUGUGCAA